AGGACUUGUAACAGAGAACAUUGCCAGCUUAGAUCCACGUGAAGGCCUCGAAGCUUUUCUUUAUGGCAUUCAUUGUGUGGAGGUGGAGUUCCCACCUGCAACCCAGUACUGCUUGACAGCAAUCAAUACCUUCUCUGGAACAAGGGGACCAUCCUCAUGGUCCACCAUUUUAGUAUCCCAUCUCAUCCCUCCAACUAUCUUCUUCACCUUAAUCAAUACAUCCACUUCAUCACGGAAUACGACGGCACCUUCUGGCCGCAAAAUUCGGUCCAUCUCAAUAAGAAUGUCUUCCCAAUCACAUCUGCAAUAUAUUUAGAUACAGCUUGUGAGUAGAAGAAAAGAAGAAACAAAGCAUUGAAUUGAUUUAGCAUAAGAAACAAUCUGGAAUCUACGUCUACUAUUGCAAGUACCCAAUCACUACUUAACGGCUACCACUCAUCUUUAGUCAUACAUACACUAUUGCUCAUCAUUGCAGUCGGAUUCUUAUUAUGACUAGUUAAUAAAUAGUUGGUAUUAGAUGUACAUAUACUAUCAUAACCAAAAGAGUCAUUACACCUCAAACUAAAAGGCUUUAUGUAGUUUUGUCUUUAAGCGAAGUGCUCAGGGGAACGACUCAACUUUGUACCAUAUGAAGACUACAUUGGAUCUAGAAAAAUGCACAAAGUUAGAGGCCCAAGAUUGAAAGAAGCUAAACAGGUUCAGAAUGUCACUGGGAUUGAGCUAAAUGAGCUUAACAUUAUCAAGGUCAAUCCAUGCUUACUGAAACAGCCAGAUAAUCAGCUUAACACCUCUGUCUAUGUAUUGAGCCCAAGUACUGUUCUUUUUUCUUUUUAUAUUAUUUAUAAGAAACUGUAAUCAAAUAUCUCAUUGGAUACUGAUUACAGAAAAGCAUUUGUGGAUUGAGCCAAGGCUUUCUUCAAUAGAGUACAAAGAUCAAUGCGCUCUUCUUGUAAACUGUUUUCAUACCAACAUCUGAACCCUCCCGUGAAGAUUAAAAGAACACUUAAGAAAGCCUAGAAAUAAAUGAUUAAUGAAGAUAUACUACUUACUUGCCAUCGUACAAACUGAAAACACCAUGGGCAUGAAUGAGGUCAUAUGUCCUUGGGUAAGUAGAGAAACCUUCACACCUGAAAUAGCAUCACCAGAAAAGAAUAAAUGAUUAACAAAUGACCAACAUUAGUGACAGAUGGGCUAUGCUCCAGGGCUUAUUUAGCACAUAAUAGUACACAGAACCUGACAUAAAAUGGAGGCAACAUUUCUUUUACGUCAACCUAUUUAGACAGACUACUUCUGUGACACUUUUUUGAAGUUUAACACAAAUCUUCAGCUACCAGAAGACAUUUUUAGCAGUAAAGGAAAUACUAAUAGGUAUCUUGAAAGCACAUACUCCAGAAAGCAAGUAAUAUAAUUGAAUGGUAAAUGAAGGAAUUUCAACAUAAUUUGCUAAAAGGACGCUUUAGAGAAACAAUUAUCAGAUAGGUGGGAGAAGUUCAGAAUAGGGUACCAGUCAUGAUAGAUUCCAAUCAAUCCUCGCUCAUAUAUGACACCCAGCGUAUUUUUCUCAGCUAUUGUGGGCACAACAUUCAUGACCCACAAUUUUGGAGAUUCAAGUGCUGCAGCAAAACCACCCAAACCAGCAUUCAUAUCCAUAAUGUUGCGAUACCUUCCUGAGUCAAUUAAUUUAUUGAUUCUCCUAUAUGCAUUUACAUGCUUCUUCCAUUUGUUGUUAUCCUCCUCGUAGGCCUCAAC
RNAcentral lists this long non-coding RNA (1749 nucleotides) under Prunus persica (peach). RNAcentral describes it as "long non-coding RNA (PPER_LNC001262)". Lineage: Eukaryota; Viridiplantae; Streptophyta; Magnoliopsida; Rosales; Rosaceae. The record is from RNAcentral.